CCUACGGGUGGCAGCAGUGAGGAAUAUUGGUCAAUGGACGAGAGUCUGAACCAGCCAAGUAGCGUGAAGGAUGACUGCCCUAUGAGUUGUAAACUUCUUUUGUAUAAGGGUAAACCGUUACACGUGUGGUCUGUUGUAUUUACCAUAUGAAUAAGGAUCGGCUAACUCCGUGCCAGCAGCCGCGGUAAUACGGAGGAUCCAAGCGUUAUCCGGAUUUAUUGGGUUUAAAGGGUUGGAAGGAGGAUUUUUAAGUCAGCGGUAAAAUCGUGGGGCUCAACCCGAUCCAGCCGUUGAGACUGGUGAUCUAGAGGGUGCGUGAGGUAUGCGGAAUGUGUGGUGUAGCGGUGAAAUGCAUAGAGAUCACGCAGAACCCCGAUUGCGAAGGCAGCAUACCGGUGCAUAACUGACGCUCAGGCACGAAAGCGUGGGUAGCGAACAGGAUUAGAUACCCUGGUAGUC
Molecule: ribosomal RNA, 459 nt
Filed under: uncultured bacterium
Lineage: Bacteria
Description: partial 16S ribosomal RNA
Rfam family: Bacterial small subunit ribosomal RNA
Source: RNAcentral